GGUUAAGCGACUAAGCGUACACGGUGGAUGCCCUGGCAGUCAGAGGCGAUGAAGGACGUGCUAAUCUGCGAUAAGCGUCGGUAAGGUGAUAUGAACCGUUAUAACCGGCGAUUUCCGAAUGGGGAAACCCAGUGUGAUUCGUCACACUAUCAUUAACUGAAUCCAUAGGUUAAUGAGGCGAACCGGGGGAACUGAAACAUCUAAGUACCCCGAGGAAAAGAAAUCAACCGAGAUUCCCCCAGUAGCGGCGAGCGAACGGGGAGCAGCCCAGAGCCUGAAUCAGUGUGUGUGUUAGUGGAAGCGUCUGGAAAGGCGCGCGAUACAGGGUGACAGCCCCGUACACAAAAAUGCACAUGCUGUGAGCUCGAUGAGUAGGGCGGGACACGUGGUAUCCUGUCUGAAUAUGGGGGGACCAUCCUCCAAGGCUAAAUACUCCUGACUGACCGAUAGUGAACCAGUACCGUGAGGGAAAGGCGAAAAGAACCCCGGCGAGGGGAGUGAAAAAGAACCUGAAACCGUGUACGUACAAGCAGUGGGAGCACAGAGCAAUCUGUGUGACUGCGUACCUUUUGUAUAAUGGGUCAGCGACUUAUAUUCUGUAGCAAGGUUAACCGAAUAGGGGAGCCGAAGGGAAACCGAGUCUUAACUGGGCGUUAAGUUGCAGGGUAUAGACCCGAAACCCGGUGAUCUAGCCAUGGGCAGGUUGAAGGUUGGGUAACACUAACUGGAGGACCGAACCGACUAAUGUUGAAAAAUUAGCGGAUGACUUGUGGCUGGGGGUGAAAGGCCAAUCAAACCGGGAGAUAGCUGGUUCUCCCCGAAAGCUAUUUAGGUAGCGCCUCGUGAAUUCAUCUCCGGGGGUAGAGCACUGUUUCGGCAAGGGGGUCAUCCCGACUUACCAACCCGAUGCAAACUGCGAAUACCGGAGAAUGUUAUCACGGGAGACACACGGCGGGUGCUAACGUCCGUCGUGAAGAGGGAAACAACCCAGACCGCCAGCUAAGGUCCCAAAGUCAUGGUUAAGUGGGAAACGAUGUGGGAAGGCCCAGACAGCCAGGAUGUUGGCUUAGAAGCAGCCAUCAUUUAAAGAAAGCGUAAUAGCUCACUGGUCGAGUCGGCCUGCGCGGAAGAUGUAACGGGGCUAAACCAUGCACCGAAGCUGCGGCAGCGACGCUUAUGCGUUGUUGGGUAGGGGAGCGUUCUGUAAGCCUGCGAAGGUGUGCUGUGAGGCAUGCUGGAGGUAUCAGAAGUGCGAAUGCUGACAUAAGUAACGAUAAAGCGGGUGAAAAGCCCGCUCGCCGGAAGACCAAGGGUUCCUGUCCAACGUUAAUCGGGGCAGGGUGAGUCGACCCCUAAGGCGAGGCCGAAAGGCGUAGUCGAUGGGAAACAGGUUAAUAUUCCUGUACUUGGUGUUACUGCGAAGGGGGGACGGAGAAGGCUAUGUUGGCCGGGCGACGGUUGUCCCGGUUUAAGCGUGUAGGCUGGUUUUCCAGGCAAAUCCGGAAAAUCAAGGCUGAGGCGUGAUGACGAGGCACUACGGUGCUGAAGCAACAAAUGCCCUGCUUCCAGGAAAAGCCUCUAAGCAUCAGGUAACAUCAAAUCGUACCCCAAACCGACACAGGUGGUCAGGUAGAGAAUACCAAGGCGCUUGAGAGAACUCGGGUGAAGGAACUAGGCAAAAUGGUGCCGUAACUUCGGGAGAAGGCACGCUGAUAUGUAGGUGAAGUCCCUCGCGGAUGGAGCUGAAAUCAGUCGAAGAUACCAGCUGGCUGCAACUGUUUAUUAAAAACACAGCACUGUGCAAACACGAAAGUGGACGUAUACGGUGUGACGCCUGCCCGGUGCCGGAAGGUUAAUUGAUGGGGUUAGCGCAAGCGAAGCUCUUGAUCGAAGCCCCGGUAAACGGCGGCCGUAACUAUAACGGUCCUAAGGUAGCGAAAUUCCUUGUCGGGUAAGUUCCGACCUGCACGAAUGGCGUAAUGAUGGCCAGGCUGUCUCCACCCGAGACUCAGUGAAAUUGAACUCGCUGUGAAGAUGCAGUGUACCCGCGGCAAGACGGAAAGACCCCGUGAACCUUUACUAUAGCUUGACACUGAACAUUGAGCCUUGAUGUGUAGGAUAGGUGGGAGGCUUUGAAGUGUGGACGCCAGUCUGCAUGGAGCCGACCUUGAAAUACCACCCUUUAAUGUUUGAUGUUCUAACGUUGACCCGUAAUCCGGGUUGCGGACAGUGUCUGGUGGGUAGUUUGACUGGGGCGGUCUCCUCCUAAAGAGUAACGGAGGAGCACGAAGGUUGGCUAAUCCUGGUCGGACAUCAGGAGGUUAGUGCAAUGGCAUAAGCCAGCUUGACUGCGAGCGUGACGGCGCGAGCAGGUGCGAAAGCAGGUCAUAGUGAUCCGGUGGUUCUGAAUGGAAGGGCCAUCGCUCAACGGAUAAAAGGUACUCCGGGGAUAACAGGCUGAUACCGCCCAAGAGUUCAUAUCGACGGCGGUGUUUGGCACCUCGAUGUCGGCUCAUCACAUCCUGGGGCUGAAGUAGGUCCCAAGGGUAUGGCUGUUCGCCAUUUAAAGUGGUACGCGAGCUGGGUUUAGAACGUCGUGAGACAGUUCGGUCCCUAUCUGCCGUGGGCGCUGGAGAAUUGAGGGGGGCUGCUCCUAGUACGAGAGGACCGGAGUGGACGCAUCACUGGUGUUCGGGUUGUCAUGCCAAUGGCACUGCCCGGUAGCUAAAUGCGGAAGAGAUAAGUGCUGAAAGCAUCUAAGCACGAAACUUGCCCCGAGAUGAGUUCUCCCUGACUCCUUGAGAGUCCUGAAGGAACGUUGAAGACGACGACGUUGAUAGGCCGGGUGUGUAAGCGCAGCGAUGCGUUGAGCUAACCGGUACUAAUGAACCGUGAGGCUUAACCUU
RNAcentral lists this ribosomal RNA (2906 nucleotides) under Escherichia coli. RNAcentral's name for it is "23S ribosomal RNA". It matches the Rfam family "Bacterial large subunit ribosomal RNA". Lineage: Bacteria; Pseudomonadati; Pseudomonadota; Gammaproteobacteria; Enterobacterales; Enterobacteriaceae. The record is from RNAcentral.